AACUUUCAACAACGGAUCUCUUGGUUCUGG
Molecule: ribosomal RNA, 30 nt
Filed under: Purpureocillium lilacinum
Lineage: Eukaryota; Fungi; Ascomycota; Sordariomycetes; Hypocreales; Ophiocordycipitaceae
Description: partial 5.8S ribosomal RNA
Source: RNAcentral